This 483-nucleotide ribosomal RNA is filed under the name uncultured bacterium. Its description in RNAcentral is "partial 16S ribosomal RNA". It matches the Rfam family "Bacterial small subunit ribosomal RNA", at positions 28 to 507 of the family's 1533-position model. The record is from RNAcentral.
GACGAACGCUGGCGGCGUGCUUAACACAUGCAAGUCGAACGCUGAAGCUCAGCUUUUGUUGGGUGGAUGAGUGGCGAACGGGUGAGUAACACGUGAGUAACCUGCCUCCUUCUUUGGGAUAACGCCCGGAAACGGGUGCUAAUACUGGAUAUUCACUGGUCUUCGCAUGGGGGUUGGUGGAAAGGGUUUUUCUGGUGGGGGAUGGGCUCGCGGCCUAUCAGCUUGUUGGUGGGGUGAUGGCCUACCAAGGCUUUGACGGGUAGCCGGCCUGAGAGGGUGACCGGUCACAUUGGGACUGAGAUAGGGCCCAGACUCCUACGGGAGGCAGCAGUGGGGAAUAUUGCACAAUGGGCGCAAGCCUGAUGCAGCGACGCCGCGUGAGGGAUGGAGGCCUUCGGGUUGUGAACCUCUUUCGCUCAUGGUCAAGCCGCAACAAUGGUUGUGGUGAGGGUAGUGGGUAAAGAAGCGCCGGCUAACUACGUG